AAAGGAAUAGACGGGGGCCCGCACAAGCGGAGGAACAUGUGGUUUAAUUCGAUGAUACGCGAGGAACCUUACCCGGGCUUGAAAUGCAGAGGAAUGUUUGGGAAACCUUACAGCCAGUAAUGGUCUCUGUGUAGGUGCUGCAUGGUUGUCGUCAGCUCGUGCCGUGAGGUGUCGGCUUAAGUGCCAUAACGAGCGCAACCCUUAUCGUUAGUUACUAACAGAUUUAGCUGAGGACUCUAACGAGACUGCCACCGUAAGGUGCGAGGAAGGUGGGGAUGACGUCAAAUCAGCACGGCCCUUACGUCCGGGGCGACACACGUGUUACAAUGGGAGGUACAGAAGGCAGCUACCUGGCGACAGGAUGCCAAUCUUAUAAAACCUCUCCCAGUUCGGAUCGGAGUCUGCAACCCGACUCCGUGAAGCUGGAUUCGCUAGUAAUCGCGCAUCAGCCAUGGCGCGGUGAAUACGUUCCCGGGCCUUGUACACACCGCCCGU
Molecule: ribosomal RNA, 495 nt
Filed under: uncultured bacterium
Lineage: Bacteria
Description: bacterial SSU rRNA
Rfam family: Bacterial small subunit ribosomal RNA
Source: RNAcentral